Molecule: ribosomal RNA, 179 nt
Filed under: Acidobacteriota bacterium
Lineage: Bacteria; Pseudomonadati; Acidobacteriota
Description: Acidobacteria bacterium partial 16S ribosomal RNA
Rfam family: Bacterial small subunit ribosomal RNA
Source: RNAcentral
GCCGUGAAUACGUUCCCGGGCCUUGUACACACCGCCCGUCACAUCACGAAAGUGAGUUGUACUAGAAGUCGCCGCGCUAACCGCAAGGAGGCAGGCGCCCAAGGUAUGACCCAUGAUUGGGGUGAAGUCGUAACAAGGUAGCCGUAGGAGAACCUGCGGCUGGAUCACCUCCUUUCUAA